ACCUUCAAAAAAGCGUCAAAGCUUAGAUACACAUACCUUAAUUUAUUUAUCCAUAUUGAACCCUUUAAUUGUACUGAGAACUUCUAUACUAUAUAGAAUUUUUUAUGCUAAAACUAGUAACAAGAGAUACCCCUCUCCCUAGUGUAAAUGUAAGUCAGCAAGAACCCAUCACUGACAACUAACAGAUUUAAACAAAAGUAGUAACUCCACAAGAAAACCCCACUUUUUCUCCUGUUAACCUAACACAAGAACACUUCAAGAAAGAUUAAAAGAAAAAGAAGGAACUCGGCAAAACCUAGCCCCGCCUGUUUACCAAAAACAUCGCCUCUUGAUUACCUCUAUAAGAGGUCUUGCCUGCCCAGUGACUCUGUUCAACGGCCGCGGUACCCUAACCGUGCGAAGGUAGCGUAAUCACUUGUUUUCUAAAUAAAGACCAGUAUGAAAGGCGUCACGAGGGUUAAACUGUCUCCUCUUUCUAAUCAGUGAACCUAAUCUUCCCGUGAAGAAGCGGGAAUUACCCCAUAAGACGAGAAGACCCUGUGGAGCUUAAAACAUCAUAACACUGCUAACAAAUACCAAUAUUCAGAUACCCCCUCCCUCAAAGCACGAUGAUUAUAAGUUUUUGGUUGGGGUGACCGCGGAGAAAAAUUAAACCUCCACUAUGAAAAGAGCCCUCCUUAACAAUAAGCUACAACCUUAUGUAUCAACAAAUUGACAUUAUUGACCCAACAAAUUGAUCAACGAACCAAGUUACCCCAGGGAUAACAGCGCAAUCCACUUUGAGAGCUCUUAUCGACAAGUGGGCUUACGACCUCGAUGUUGGAUCGGGAUAUCCUAGUGGUGCAGCCGCUACUU
Molecule: ribosomal RNA, 855 nt
Filed under: Pristimantis jaguensis
Lineage: Eukaryota; Metazoa; Chordata; Amphibia; Anura; Strabomantidae
Description: partial 16S ribosomal RNA
Rfam family: Bacterial large subunit ribosomal RNA
Source: RNAcentral